CCUACGGGCGGCUGCAGUGAGGAAUAUUGGUCAAUGGAGGAAACUCUGAACCAGCCAUGCCGCGUGCAGGAAGAAUGCCCUAUGGGUUGUAAACUGCUUUUAUACAGGAGGAAACUUUCUACGUGUAGAAAUAUGACAGUACUGUAUGAAUAAGCACCGGCUAACUCCGUGCCAGCAGCCGCGGUAAUACGGAGGGUGCAAGCGUUAUCCGGAUUUAUUGGGUUUAAAGGGUGCGUAGGCGGCUCUAUAAGUCAGUGGUGAAAUCAUCAGGCUCAACCUGAUACCUGCCAUUGAUACUGUAAAGCUUGAGUAUUAUCGACGCGGGAGGAAUGCGACAAGUAGCGGUGAAAUGCUUAGAUAUGUCGCAGAACACCAAUAGCGAAGGCAUCUCGCGAGGUAAUCACUGACGCUAAGGCACGAAAGCGUGGGUAGCAAACAGGAUUAGAUACCCCAGUAGUC
Molecule: ribosomal RNA, 459 nt
Filed under: uncultured Bacteroidota bacterium
Lineage: Bacteria; Pseudomonadati; Bacteroidota
Description: bacterial SSU rRNA
Rfam family: Bacterial small subunit ribosomal RNA
Source: RNAcentral